GAUGAACGCUAGCUACAGGCUUAACACAUGCAAGUCGAGGGGCAGCAUGGUCUUAGCUUGCUAAGGCCGAUGGCGACCGGCGCACGGGUGAGUAACACGUAUCCAACCUGCCGUCUACUCUUGGACAGCCUUCUGAAAGGAAGAUUAAUACAAGAUGGCAUCAUGAGUCCGCAUGUUCACAUGAUUAAAGGUAUUCCGGUAGACGAUGGGGAUGCGUUCCAUUAGAUAGUAGGCGGGGUAACGGCCCACCUAGUCUUCGAUGGAUAGGGGUUCUGAGAGGAAGGUCCCCCACAUUGGAACUGAGACACGGUCCAAACUCCUACGGGAGGCAGCAGUGAGGAAUAUUGGUCAAAUGGACGAGAGUCUGAACCAGCCAAGUAGCGUGAAGGAUGACUGCCCUAUGGGUUGUAAAACUUCUUUUAUACGGGAAUAAAGUGAGCCACGUGUGGCUUUUUGUAUGUACCGUAUGAAUAAGGAUCGGCUAACUCCGUGCC
This 494-nucleotide ribosomal RNA is filed under the name uncultured bacterium. RNAcentral's name for it is "bacterial SSU rRNA". It matches the Rfam family "Bacterial small subunit ribosomal RNA", at positions 28 to 509 of the family's 1533-position model. The record is from RNAcentral.